UUCCCCUAGUAACUGCGAGUGAAGCGGGAAAAGCUCAAAUUUAAAAUCUGGUAGUUUCACUGCCCGAGUUGUAAUCUAGAGAAGCGUUAUCCGCGCUGGACCGUGUAUAAGUCUCCUGGAAUGGAGCGUCAUAGAGGGUGAGAAUCCCGUCUUUGACACGGACUACCAGGGCUUUGUGAUGCGCUCUCAAAGAGUCGAGUUGUUUGGGAAUGCAGCUCUAAAUGGGUGGUAAAUUCCAUCUAAAGCUAAAUAUUGGCGAGAGACCGAUAGCGAACAAGUACCGUGAGGGAAAGAUGAAAAGAACUUUGGAAAGAGAGUUAAACAGUACGUGAAAUUGUUGAAAGGGAAACGCUUGAAGUCAGUCGCGUCGGCUAGGAAUCAGCCUUGCUUUUGCUUGGUGUACUUUCUGGUUGACGGGUCAGCAUCAGUUUUGAUCGGUGGAAAAAGGUCAGCGGAAUGUGGCACCUUCGGGUGUGUUAUAGCUGCUGGUUGUAUACAUCGGUUGGGACUGAGGAACUAGCACUCUGUGUUUUAGAUGCUGGCAUAAUGGCUUUAAUCGACCCGUCUUGAAACACGGACCAAGGAGUCUAACAUGCCUGCGAGUGUUUGGGUGGAAAACCCGAGCGCGUAAUGAAAGUGAAAGUUGAGAUCCCUGUCGUGGGGAGCAUCGACGCCCGGACCAGACCUUUUGUGACGGAUCCGCGGUAGAGCAUGUAUGUUGGGACCCGAAAGAUGGUGAACUAUGCCUGAAUAGGGUGAAGCCAGAGGAAACUCUGGUGGAGGCUCGUACGAUUCUGACGUGCAAAUCGAUCGUCAAAUUUG
RNAcentral lists this ribosomal RNA (822 nucleotides) under Clitopilus orientalis. RNAcentral describes it as "LSU rRNA". It matches the Rfam family "Eukaryotic large subunit ribosomal RNA", at positions 75 to 913 of the family's 3401-position model. The record is from RNAcentral. Lineage: Eukaryota; Fungi; Basidiomycota; Agaricomycetes; Agaricales; Entolomataceae.